RNAcentral lists this ribosomal RNA (481 nucleotides) under uncultured bacterium. Its description in RNAcentral is "partial 16S ribosomal RNA". It matches the Rfam family "Bacterial small subunit ribosomal RNA", at positions 28 to 523 of the family's 1533-position model. The record is from RNAcentral.
GACGAACGCUGGCGGCGUGCUUAACACAUGCAAGUCGAGCGGUAAGGCCCCUUCGGGGGUACACGAGCGGCGAACGGGUGAGUAACACGUGAGCAAUCUGCCCUUCACACGGGGAUAACUCCGGGAAACCGAAGCUAAUACCCGAUACGACCACUUCAGGCAUCUGAUGGUGGUGGACAGUUCCGGCGGUGAAGGAUGAGCUCGCGGCCUAUCAGCUUGUUGGUGGGGUAACGGCCCACCAAGGCAACGACGGGUAGCCGGGCUGAGAGGCUGACCAGGAAGACUGGGACUUGGGCGCUGCCUCGACUCCGCGGAGAGUCGGCAUGGGGGCAGAUUGGACCAUGGGCGGUAGCCUGGUCCAGCACCGCCGCGUGAGGGAUGACGGCCUUCGGGUUGUAGACCUCUUUCGGCAUGGAGGUAGACUAACUUACGUUAGGCGCAGAGGCAGCGUCGGCCAUCUACGAGGCACCAGCCGCCGUAU